CGGUAGUACUAGAAUAUGAAGCAAGCAUGAAACUGUCGCAGGCAAUUCACAAAAGAACUCCGCCAAUUGUCCUUGAGAUAUGAAUAACUAGAAGACCAGUCACCACUCCUUCCGCUCCAACCGACUUUGCUUUAAACUUUUGAAAUUCAAUUGCGAGUUUUGAAUGUCAUAACUAACAUUCUCACAUGCAACACAUUUCCAAUCACAACAAUCCUUCCAUUUUUCUUCUACACCAUCAACAUUCAGUGUUGUUGGGACGUUAAGCUGAGACAUGAGAAGGCGAAGGCAACCAAAAUCCCUAAUCCCACUUCGCUUAAUUUCGCGGAACAGACCAGACUCGGACGAAAGCAUUUCUGAUGAAGACGACGCCGUUUUCCCCAAUAAUGCGCUUUCCUCAGACAACACCCACAAGCAAGAAUUGCCUCUUGCUGUGCGGCUUGACAUUCUAAAAGGGUACUGCGGUACAGGAAUCAGUGAUCGGAAUUUGUCUGGGAAAGGCACCAGUUCUUCAUCUGAGAAACCGCUUGAAGAUGAGGUUGAGAUGCCUGACUUCAACGAGGGAGAGGUUGUUGCCAAUUCAACUGAUGAAGAAAACAAUUCUGCAGACAGGGAUAAUACUGCCGUAUCAGCCCCACAGCUCCUCAAGUAUGGUCCACAAUCUAUCAGAAACAAACAUAUUAGAGAUAUGACCAGAAUUUCUGAAGCAUUGCUACAUUACAAAGGAAGCGUGUCAGGGUCUCAUAUGACCUGCUCCAAAGCAAUUACAUCUGUGGUUGAUCUUAGGAGUUCUGGAAAUUUAGAGGAAAAUCAUCUUGAAGAUGAUGACAAAAUUGAAGUAAAUUCAGACAUUGAGCCUGAUGAAAUAGAAGCUUUUCCACGUGAGUUUAAUCUCACCUCAAUGAAUGAGCUCUUUAAUAACCUCCAAGACAAAGCCAAUCAGCUUUUGCAGAAAAGUAGUAGACCCCACUUAAAAGAUACAACUGUUGAUAGUGAAGAUUUCUCAGAUCCCGUGGAAAGUGGAUCAUCAAGUGACAAUAAGGCAAGUUAUCAACAAAUAAAAAAUACCUUCUCUGUAAAGAAAACGCAGACCAUGACAGAGCGAUUUUUGGAAGCUCUAGGGACAUCCUCUGUUAUUACUGAAGGGACUCGUGUUGGGGCUCAUAAUUCAUCGAGUGAUGGAUUGUCUGAAAGACUACAGCAGAUGAUGCUAAAAGAAAAAGAAACAGACAUGGACUUCUGGAAAAAGUUAAAAGCUGGAGCUAGGCCAGAUAGUCAACUUGGCUGUUUUGAUGUAAAAAUCAUUUCAAGAUACCAAGAUGGAAAGCUGACUGUUUGUCACUGCUCAUUUGGCAAGUGCAGAGAGAUUAUUUUUGCAGAAUUUUCUGUUGCAAGAUAAUUAUGAAGGAAUGGGGUUUGGUGGAAGCAAAAGCAGCCAAAGCACCAUUAUCUUUAGCCCAAGGGUUUGCAACAAUGUUGACCUUGUAGUUGGGAAUGUGAUCCGAAUUCACCCUCCAUGGAAGGAAGUUCAAGUGGGAAAUGAUAAUAUUAUUCUGUGCACUUAUUUCUCAUUAAUUUGAUGUCCAGUUUUAAUUCAUUAGAUUCUUAUCAACCAAGGACAAUUAUGCAAAGCACCAAACAAAUAUGCUGCUGUUCAGCUUUGGGAACUAGGAAAGGGACUUGUCUUGUUUCAUUUGACUCGAGUCGAGGUACCUUUAGAUUACUGUACCACUAGCCUUAAAGAUUAUUGGUAGAGAAAAAAAUUAGAGAAAAUUUGGAGUGAGGAUCAUGAAGAAUCUCUAAUGUUAUUAAUAUUUGAUAUUGAUGCACUUUGAAGGUA
This is an RNA transcript of Vigna umbellata (rice bean), 1837 nucleotides long. It is a transcript of the gene named kinetochore protein, with no coding region annotated. Lineage: Eukaryota; Viridiplantae; Streptophyta; Magnoliopsida; Fabales; Fabaceae. The record is from RefSeq and is a predicted model, not a curated record.